RNAcentral lists this long non-coding RNA (211 nucleotides) under Mytilus galloprovincialis (Mediterranean mussel). Lineage: Eukaryota; Metazoa; Mollusca; Bivalvia; Mytilida; Mytilidae. The record is from RNAcentral.
UGGUGGCUAUUGGUACUUUACGGAACGGAACGGAACGGAACGGAACGGAAAAGAAUUUCAUUUAAGGUAUCCAAAGGGGGCAUUUAUCAAAAUUUCGAAAAAUCUUUAAAACAAAACAAACUUUAAAAUUUCUGUGUUUUACGGUUUUCCAUAUACAAAUAACACAAAUGUAUACUUAAUCUCAUCUUCACAAGUGAAAUGUGUAAUAAUG